RNAcentral lists this unclassified non-coding RNA (28 nucleotides) under Dictyostelium discoideum. The record is from RNAcentral. Lineage: Eukaryota; Evosea; Eumycetozoa; Dictyosteliales; Dictyosteliaceae.
UCGUAGGCACAAAUUAAAACGUCUGAUU